This 253-nucleotide ribosomal RNA is filed under the name uncultured bacterium. RNAcentral's name for it is "partial 16S ribosomal RNA". It matches the Rfam family "Bacterial small subunit ribosomal RNA", at positions 524 to 776 of the family's 1533-position model. The record is from RNAcentral.
UACGGGGGGGGCAAGCGUUGUCCGGAAUUAUUGGGCGUAAAGGGCUCGUAGGCGGCUAACUAAGUCGGACGUGAAAUCCCCAGGCUCAACCUGGGAACUGCGUCUGAUACUGGAUGGCUUGAAUUCGGGAGAGGGAUGCAGAAUUCCAGGUGUAGCGGUGAAAUGCGUAGAUAUCUGGAGGAAUACCGGUGGCGAAGGCGGCAUCCUGGACCGACAUUGACGCUGAUGAGCGAAAGCUAGGGGAGCAAACGGG